Molecule: long non-coding RNA, 315 nt
Organism: Magallana angulata
Lineage: Eukaryota; Metazoa; Mollusca; Bivalvia; Ostreida; Ostreidae
Exons: 3
Source: RefSeq, a predicted model, not a curated record
AAUUUGGUUGGUUUGUAUAUUUUGCUUUAUGUGUUUUACCGCCAAGUUUGACAAUCUUUGUCUGGACAUUGACCAAAGCAGACUAUAUAUUUAUAUAGAGAAGUAAUUUAAUUUUGGACCAGACCUUGCUCUUUUUCUGAAUCAGUCAAUGUCAAUAUAAUUUCACCACGCAUUCGGUGUACGUAUUAUGAGCCUGUUCCCAUAGAAUGGGCUUAAAUAUACAUUGCAAAUUUUAAAGUCACUGUGUCCGGAUACGAAUAAACGAACCAUACAGAUAUCUUUGUUGUCAGUUAUUUUAAACAAAGACUGUAACAU